GUGCUCACUUCAGCAGCACAUAUACUAAAAUUAGAACCAUGCAAAGAAGAUUAGCAUGGCCCCUGUGAAGGAUGACAAGCAAAUUCAUGAAAUGUUCCAUAUAUUU
Molecule: small nuclear RNA, 106 nt
Organism: Suncus etruscus (white-toothed pygmy shrew)
Lineage: Eukaryota; Metazoa; Chordata; Mammalia; Eulipotyphla; Soricidae
Source: RefSeq, a predicted model, not a curated record